Long non-coding RNA from Glycine soja, 1785 nucleotides. RefSeq lists it as uncharacterized. The record is from RefSeq and is a predicted model, not a curated record. The transcript has 4 exons. NCBI's taxonomy places the organism in Eukaryota, Viridiplantae, Streptophyta, Magnoliopsida, Fabales, Fabaceae.
CUCGAUCGGCGUUAGUGACCGUCAGCACAUGGCACAGAGUGUAAUUUAAAAUAUUAUAUUAAAUAAAAUAUUCAAAAUGGCGUAAUCAUAGAUGCUAUUUGUCAUCGACUCAUUGUAGAUUCACGGGACAACUUGCAAAAAUAUCCAAGACCUCUGGACCACCCAUCAAAUUCAGAGGAGAUGCUAGGUGCACCCCGCACUUAAAAGUAAAAGACAAAAAUGUUCCUUAGUUUUUUUAAAAAACUUUUGCGUACCCAGAAACCUUUUUUCAUGCCAUGACUGUGCUUUCUCCUUCUUCCGUCUGUUCUUCUUCUUCUUCAGCAGCCCAGCCCUUCUCCUUCGAGUCCCUGUGUCGUUCUUCUCCAGCCCUGUUGAUUCAGCGUGCGUGGUGGUGUCUUCUUCUUCUUCGUCCCCUUGGUUUUGCGCGUUUCGUCGGCAUUGUCAAGAUCAUGGUUAGGACUAGAGGCUUAGGUCGUGCCUUAGGUAGGGUUAUUGGCAGAGCUCUGGGAAGAGAGGAUCGUCAUGAUUCAGAUGAUGCUCCCCAGCGGUGAAGGCCUACCGCAUCGGCAUGUAGGCAACGGGUUGUUGCUCCUGCUACUGAGGAUGACCCUGUCAUUGCUGUAGACGUACAUGACCCUGUUGGUGAGGAUGACCCUGUUGGUGAUGCAGAUGAGCCUAUGGUAGCUGCAAGCGCUGGUGCAGACGUAUAUGCACCUGGUGCAGACACUGGAGCAGAGGCUGGUGCAGAUGAGCCUGAGGGAUUUCCAGGUGGACCGAGCGACCCAUCAGUGCUUACCGAGUAUGCUGAGCAUGUUGCAGCCAACGUAUGGACCAAAGAGAACAUCCUGAGUUGAAGUUAUCCUCCCAUGGGAGGAAGGUGCAGAAAUUAGGUAGGUCUGUCCCUACAAUUGAAGGGCUAGUUGUUGGCACAGGACUAAGUCCUUUGAUCGCGUGUUCAGUAGACACUGGUGAUCGGAGACUUAUAUCCUCGUUUGUGGAGAGGUGGCACGGGGAGACUAGCAGUUUCCAUCUUCCCGUGGGGGAGGUUACCAUCACCCUGGACGACAUGGCACCUCUUCUUCAUCUGCCCAUCAUUGGCAACUUCCAUACCUUCCAGCCUCUGCACGUCGACGAGGCGGUGUUGAUGUUGGUUUACUUACUAUUGGUCUCAGCAGAUGCAACCAGGGUCGAGACAGGACAUUGUCAUGGACCAUACGUACGCCUAUCUUGGCUACGAGAUAUAUAUCAGUGCAAAUGUCAGGCCAAACAUUGGACAGCUGCAACUCGUGCCUAUCUUCUUCUUCUUCUUCUAGGUUGCACUCUUUUUGCUAACAAGAGUGAAACCCAUGUUCGUGUUGUCUUCUUAGACGCUUUACGUGAUUGUUCAAAGUCCGACAAAUGCAUCGGAUCGCGCAAGUAGUAUAAAAUGGAGAAUUAUAAGCAAUUGGGCUUGGAUUCGGAAUUGGGCUGAACCGACUUGGACUUGAAGAGAGCAGACAAUUUUAUUUGUCGUCCAGUUUUAUUUUAUUUCAUUUUUGGGCUGUAUUUUUGUAAUUGGGCCACUAGACCUUAUUGGACCCAAAAAUCAGAUUUGUAAGCUUUGUGGCCUAGUGACCUUUUGUGAGCCCAACUACUAGGGUUUUAGGAGUGGUCCGGUUCCUGUUCACGGAGGGAGAGAUGGUAGGGUUUCAUUUUUAGUUUUUCGUGUUACUGUUCACGCGCAUAGUACUGUUCACGUAGCAACUCCACUUUCAUUUUCUGCUUUAAAUUCCAGUUUCAUUUUCA